Molecule: ribosomal RNA, 254 nt
Filed under: uncultured bacterium
Lineage: Bacteria
Description: partial 16S ribosomal RNA
Rfam family: Bacterial small subunit ribosomal RNA
Source: RNAcentral
UACGUAGGGUGCGAGCGUUGCUCGGAAUCACUGGGCGUAAAGGGCGCGUAGGCGGCGUUUUAAGUCGGGGGUGAAAGCCUGUGGCUCAACCACAGAAUGGCCUUCGAUACUGGGACGCUUGAGUAUGGUAGAGGUUGGUGGAACUGCGAGUGUAGAGGUGAAAUUCGUAGAUAUUCGCAAGAACACCGGUGGCGAAGGCGGCCAACUGGACCAUUACUGACGCUGAGGCGCGAAAGCGUGGGGAGGCAAACAGG